CUGUUCUCCAUGUGACAUGAGUGAUACAGACCCUGGCUUUCUACCAGCAGUGGCAAAACAGUUCCUUCUGCCUGACGAUCCCUCCUCGCUGAACCCAGCCUGCCCUUCAGGCUCCAUCUGCACUGACAGCCAGCCCAGGUGAGAACAGUUGCCUUCCUCUCCAUCUCAGAGGCAGUCCCUUCACAAGAAGAUCUGAAAUACUUGAAGUGAAUCAAAGAAGCCAUUAUGUCCCUGUCCUCCAGCCUGAAGAGUCUCCUCACCAUCUGUGUCCUCGCUGCUUUUGUUUCCAGCACUGUGGGUAAGAAUGAACAGAUGCCCCUUUCUCCCAAAGAUCUGAAGGGUGAAGAUAGC
This 351-nucleotide long non-coding RNA is filed under the name Pan troglodytes (chimpanzee). RNAcentral's name for it is "long non-coding RNA NONPTRT008791". The record is from RNAcentral. Lineage: Eukaryota; Metazoa; Chordata; Mammalia; Primates; Hominidae.